GUGCUUGCUUCAGCAGCAUAUAUACUAAAAUUGGAACGAUACAGAAAAGCAUGGCCCUUGCACAAGGAUGACACGAAAAUUCGUAAACGUUCCAUAUUUUU
This is a small nuclear RNA of Erinaceus europaeus (western European hedgehog), 101 nucleotides long. Lineage: Eukaryota; Metazoa; Chordata; Mammalia; Eulipotyphla; Erinaceidae. The record is from Ensembl.